This 20532-nucleotide long non-coding RNA is filed under the name Triticum aestivum (bread wheat). RNAcentral's name for it is "long non-coding RNA (TAES_LNC021752)". Lineage: Eukaryota; Viridiplantae; Streptophyta; Magnoliopsida; Poales; Poaceae. The record is from RNAcentral.
CGCUCCCGCACGUCUCGCUCCGCGACCUCGCGGCCGAGCACGGCCGCGAUGGACUCAUGCUCCUCCGCCUCGGCGCCGUCCCGACGCUCAUCGUAACCUCGCCGAGCGCCGCGCAGGCCGUGCUGCGCACCCACGACCACGUCUUCGCGUCCCGGGCAUACUCCCCCGUCACCGACAUCCUCUUCUACGGCUCCACGGACGUCGCCUUCUGCCCCUACGGCGAGCACUGGCGGCAGGUCAAGAAGAUCGCCACCACGCAUCUCCUCACCAACAAGAAGGUCCGCUCCUACCGCCAUGCGCGCGAGAACGAGGUAGCUAUCCAUCAACUUGAUUUUGAUAGCACCAUGUGCAUGUUGCGAGAAUAUGUUUUAGAGCACCUGCACACGGGCCCUUUUUAUCUAGCCAUCCAUUUCUCGUAUCGCAAUUCGUGCAAGUAUAUUUCUUUUUUAUUUCUCUUAUAUAGAACAUGUCUUGAAGUUUAAACCUAUCUAAAACAGCAAAGCUUUCUAACUAGAAUCUAGGAUAAAACUUUUAGAUUUUUUGGUCAAACAUAAAUAUAAAAAAUAAGUUUUGUUUGGAAAAAAAAUCUUAUUUUUAGUAUUUAUGUCGGACCAAAAAUUCUGAAAGAUUUAUCAUUGAACUUCAAGACAUGUUCUAUACGGGAGAAAUGAAAAAGAGAAAAAAUUAUAUAGAAAGUUAGUUGUGUCGCAUAGAUCUUAAAGCGACAUUGGAGGGUUAGAAUAGCAGGUCCGGGGUGUAGGUGCUCAAAAAAUCUGUGUACAUGCAUGUUGUCCACCUCAUCAGCCAUACUGACAUUAACUAUUGUUGCCUCUGCUCGCCUCCUCGAUCAACAAGGUGAGGUUGGUGGUGGCCAAGAUCCGGGAGGCCGCCACCACUGGCGCCGCCAUGGACCUGAGUGACCUGCUCAAUGCAUUCACCAACGACAUCGUCUGCCACGCUGUGGCCGGCAAGUAUUUCAGGAAACAAGGCCACAACAAGCUCUUUCGAGAGCUCGUCGAGGCCAACUCGUCGCUCAUCGGCGGUUUCAACCUGGAAGACUACUUCCCAGUGUUGGUGAAGCUGGACUUCAUCAAGAGGAUGGUUUGCGCCAAGGCCCAGAAGGUGAACAAGAUGUGGGACGAACUGCUCAAUAGCCUCAUCGAUGAGCACGCAAGCAGGCCCACGUCAGAACAAGGCGGCGAUGACAGCGACUUCAUCAAUGUGUUGCUUUCCAUUCAACAAGAGUACGAUCUUACUGGAGACCAUAUUAAGGCUCAGUUGGAGGUAUGACCUCACAUAUUAAGGUUCAGUUCCAAAUUAUUUGAAGUUGUAGCUUUGUGUUUAGUCAAAUUUUACUAUAGUUGACUAAGUCUAUACAAAAGUGUCCCAAUAUUUACAACAAUAAAUAUAUAUAUAGUGUACGGAAUAUAUUUUAUAACGAAGCUAAUUUGGUUUCAAUAUAUUGUUAUGUUUUUUUAUAAACUUGGCCAAUUUAAAAGAGUUGACUUAAGACAAACAUAAAACUUUAAAUAAUUUGGAACGGAGAGUAGCUUAUACAUGUUGUUCAUUCUAAUAUGUGUAUACGUGUGUAUGUAUGUAUGCAGAUCAUGUUUGAAGCUGGCACUGAUACAUCAUUUAUAGUGUUGGAAUAUGCCAUGGUUCGGCUCAUGCAAAACCCCCACCUCAUGAAUAAGCUAAAAAACGAGGUAAGGAGCACUAUAUCCAAGGGGAAAGACAUGAUUGCUGAAGACGAUCUAAGCAGUUUGGCCUACCUAAAGGCAGUCAUCAAAGAGACACUCCGGCUCCAUAUGCCCGCACCGCUCCUUGUGCCUCACCUCUCCAUGGCCGACUGCAAAAUUAAUGGCUACACGAUACCAUCAGGGACGCGCGCCAUCGUCAACAGUUGGGCUCUUGCAAGGGAUCCCAGCAGCUGGGAGAGCGCAGAAGAGUUCAUGCCUGAGCGGUUCAUGGAAGGUGGUAGCGCUGCAACUAUGGACUACAAGGGAAACGAUUUCCCCUACUUGCCCUUUGGGACUGGGCGGAGGAUCUGCCCAGGUAUCAACUUUGCAAUUGUGACCAUUGAAAUCAUGCUAGCAAAUCUCAUGUACCACUUCGACUGGAAGCUACCAUCAGAAUCAAUGGAAGCUGGCAUCAGUAUGACUGAAUCAUUUGGGGUAACGGUGCACCGAAAGGAAAAGCUCCUCCUUGUCCCUGUAGUGCCGGAAGGUUAAUAAAAAGUGGUCCAUAGACACUACCUACAUAAUAGUCAUCUAGAUUUUUGGACUUUUUAUUAAGCACGAGUGUAUUGAGUAAAUAAAGCGUUGCAUCACAAAUAGAUCGCCAUAUUCAUGACUAGCAGUUAAGACUAGUACAAGAACGCUCAUUUGGACAGUUUAUAACUUUAUAUGUGUGCCCAAACGAUUGAAAUUUCCUUAUCAGCAAUACUCAGCACUACCAUGUACAACUUGGUUUUUAGUAAUAUAUAGACAACAUUGCUUACUUCCAUAGGUCAUAAUUAAAGAGCCUCUGGUGGGCUUUCAUUUUCCUUCACAAAGAUUUGACCUUAUAUUGGAAACAUGCAUCACUAACAUGCAGUCUAUGUUUGCUUUAACACAUACGCUUGUCAAUUUUUUUGAUAGAUCUCUCUCUCUCUCUCUCCCUCCCUCCCUCCGUCCCUCCCUCCGUCCCUCCCUCCCUCUCUCUCUCUCUCUCUCUCUCUCUCCCAGCCACUAAUGGGACUGAUGUCUGAUCUGAAGUGCUCUUAGUAUGAUGUGAUAUGCAAGGACACACCUCAAUCCACACCCUAAUUCAUUGCAUCGUCACCAACAAUAAUAUAGCAUUCUUAAUCUUUAAUGACUAAGUAGUCCUCACAUUGUGUAUUUAUGUAAGAAAAUGUCUCUUCCGUUUGCUUAGUUUUACUUUGUAAUUUUACCCUCACCAAAUUCUCUCUAUAUAGCAUGCAAUCAUUCUUUUGGUGCCCUCCAUUGGUGAACUCUUUUUUGUCUUGACUUUGAUCUCCCACUAGAUUUAUCAAUGCCUUGUUAAGUCUUGCAUGUCUACUUCCAUGACUCGCAGAUUUUAGCUUGGGUUUAGCCACAUUUGCAUCAUCAGAAGAGACUUUGUUUUCUCCGUGUUCUAUCUAUUUGGAUUCUUCAUUCAACAUGAUGUUCUUCACCAUCUCUAUUAUCGGCCUGCCAUUUGAACUUGAAUUGCUAAGUGACACAAAAAGCAUGUUAUAGCUAUUAGGAAUGGACCUCGAUCAUUGCAACAAUGCUUGCAUCUGAUCGUCAAACUUGAUCUUCACAGAUAAGAGUUGAUUAGACAAUAUUGGAGGACAUUCAGUUGCUCAAUCAAAUUAUUUUCAUUUGGGUAGUCAAGCUUCACAGGUGUUUGAUUACCGUGGCUUUGUUUACUAAAGUGUUUCUCUCAAAUAUGAACUCUAACUUCCGCCACAUUUGAUAAGCGUUUGUUUCAUUUGCAACUUGUUGGAAUAUAUCACUACUGAUGUAAAAACGAAUCAUACCAAUGGCCUUUAGGUUCAACAUUCUCCAUCCUCUUCCAUUACACCAACCGGAGGCAACUAGGCUAACGGCCCUAUUGAACCGUGCUCUGAUAUCACUCUCUUGCAGAUGAGCACAAAGUUACGGUAAUAUUAAAAUUAGAGUAGAAUCAAAGUAUAGUUUUAACACUAGUUCAAGGAUUGUUAAUCAACGAGGAAGGAAACAUAUGCAUCUUCAACUAUGGAGAAACUGGAUCAAGCCCACCAAAGAAAAUGAAACUGGAAACCUAUGCAUUCUUUUUAAUCAACGAGUCACCUUGUAGAUUUCUCUUAGACAAACCACCACAACCAUUUUGAAAGCAAACAUAACUAGAAAAUAAUGCAAAACAUAGUUAACAAACUUGCUAAGGAGAAUUACAUCGCAAGCUCUGAAAGAUUUGAAAUAGUUAAAAACCCCAAGGCCAACACCAACCACAAGCAACAUAUGCAUCAAAGCAACAAAAAGCAUAACAAGAUCUAAACACAAUCUCCUCCAAAACAUAUCUUGAAUAAUAUACAGAUCUAAACCAUCCAGGAUCCACUGUCCUUAGCCCAAAAACCUGCAUCGCAUGCCUAGGAGUCUACAUGAAGGAUCUCAGGCAUGGCUUCCCACAUAAGCUUCUUCUAGCACCAUCUUGAACAUCGAGCUCGGAUAUUGUUUGAAAAAAUUCAAGCUCCAUCACCAACUAAAUCAUCAAGUUAAAUGCAGUUAAACCACAAUUUGCCAAAUGAGUUUCGCGAGAUUGCACUUAAAGAACAAAUGUUCAAGAUUCUCCUUAUGCUCACACAAGUGGCAUUGGUCAUUGCUAGUACAACCCCUCUUGAGAAAAUUUAAUAGGUUAAUAUGUUGUUCUUCAACAUCAACUAGACAAGAUUUUAAUAUUGAAAACGAGGGGACGCAAAGGAUCUCCAUGUCCAGCUUUGUAAGUUAGGAAAGAUGGCUGUAUCUUGUUGUUCACUUUACUCACCACUCUUCCACCUCUAACAAUCUUCAUCACCCAAUCAUUCCACUUGUUCCCAAAACUUUUUUACUUGCAUCAUUUGAUACAAAAAAGACCCCUUAACUUUGUCAUAUAUCUUUUCAAAAUCUAUCAUAAGCAGCACCCCAACUUUUUUUGUUGAUUGAAUUGCAUGAAUGGUUUCAUGAAAUAAAGAAACACUCACCAUUAUAUAUCUAUCCUUAAUAUUAUCAGUCUGCUUACCAAUCACCAGUCGUAAUCUAACAUCUAAAAACUUUGUGAGUAUUUUACAGCUAGCACUUAGUAGGCAUAUUGGCCCGAACUUAUGAAUACCUUAGCAUCCUGAACUUUUGAAAACAGGGUAAUAAUGCCAUGAAAACAAGGUAAUAAUGCAAUGAUUCCACCUCUCAAAAUCCAACACUCCAUUACUAAAUGCAUCAAACAUUUCUUUCUAAUCAUGUUUAAUAUCCUCCCAACAAACUUUGUAAAAUUAUGCAGGUAAACGAUCAGGUUUUGCAGAUUAAUUAUGCUUCAAACCAAACACAUAUUUUUUAUUCACCCCCAAACAAACUCCUUAGUAAAAAAAUAUUGUUCCUCUGUACUCAACUGAGAAUAAUAUAAACCAUCCAAAGAAAUGGAGGUCGCUUCAUGAGCACCAAAAAGGGUUUUAUAGAUUUGAGUAAUGUGUUAUAUCUGCUCAUCAUCCCCUAGGCUCAACACCAUUAUUUUGCAAAAUUGCAAUAUUGUUUUCUUCCACUGGCUUUCAGAUGGCACUAGUAGAAAAGGGGGCAAUGGCCCAGGCAGGUUCAGCCCAUUAGUCUCGGUUCUGCCACGAACCGGGACAAAUGGAGGUAUUUGUCCCGGUUCGUGAGCCCAGGGGACCGGCCGGGCCACGUGGGCCAUUGGUCCCGGUUCGUCCGGACCUUUUGGUCCCGGUUGGUGGGACGAACCGGGACCAAUGGCCCUGGCUCCUGGCCCACCAUCAUUGGUCCCGGUUGGUGGCUUGAACUGGGAUCAAAGGCUUCCCUUUAGCACCGGUUCAUGCCACCAACUGGGACCGAUGGUGGUGCCUAUAUAUACCCCCUCGCGCAAGAGCAGAGCACACUGCUCUGUUUUUUCUGGCCGAGGGGGAGAGGGCUUGGUGGUGCUCUAGCUCACCUCCUAUGCACACAAGGUGUUCGAUGGAAUGCCCGAGCCACACUACUUAAGGUUUCUCCUCUCCAAGCUCGACCGCCAAGCUCCAUUUUCCUCAAUAUUUAUCUAGGUUUAGCGGUCCGUCACGCCCCGUCCCCGUCUUCACCGCCGUCGAUCACCCGCGCCAAUCUCAUCGCCGGCACCACCGUGGUGAGCCUCUUGUUCUUAUCUUCUUUCUGAAAGAAAAAAUAUUCUUACUUGUAUGUUUAGAUAGAUACUUGUAUUAUUUUCUUACUUUUAUUAUUGCAUCUUAUAUAGUGCGAUGGUUUUGGUAUCCGCCCCCGUCGGCCCUCGUCCUGUCUAUGAUUCGGAUGUGGUAUAUAUUAUCUUUUCAUAACUAUUGGUUCAUUUAUUGUUUAUGAAAAUUAUGCCGACCAACGUGACAUAGAUUUUAUUUAUCUAGGAUGUUGUUGAACCGGAAAUUCCAACCGACCCUAUUGUCGAGAGGUUAAAUUUAGUUGAAGAAGAAAACAAUUUCUUGAAGGAAAAAAUAAAAAAACUUGAGGAGGAGAAGAUGAUAUUGGAGUUGCAUGUUGCGGAUGUCGUCGAUGAUCACAAGAUCAAGAUGGAUGCAAUGCGCUUGAAGAUGAGAAAGAUUAGAAAAUAUGCCAUUCAUACCGAGGCUUGGUAUCAUUAUGCCGUUGGAUCAGUUGUUACCUUGGUUGCGAUUAUGAUCGCAUUUGUUUUCGCAUUGAAAUGUUUUACAUAGUUUCAAUGUAUGGUUUAAUUAAUUUAGAUGCUCUGCAGAGCUUUAUGUUGUUAGAUGAGAACUAUGUAUGUACUUUGGUUUUUAUGUGAUGAUGAACUUCUAUUAAUUUGGUCACUUAAUUAUCUAUUCAUGAUGUUCUGUAAUGAUUUUUGACACACUUAAUUAUAUAUAAUGCACGCAGAUGAACCGGCAAUGGAUGUACGGUGACAGACACACCUCCGAGUACAUUAAGGGUGUGCAUGAUUUUCUCGAAGUGGCUGAGGCAAACAAGCAGAAUGGUUUUAUGUGUUGUCCAUGCCCUAUAUGUGGGAAUACGAAGUCUUACUCUGACCGGAAAAUCCUUCACACCCACCUGCUUUACAAGGGUUUCAUGCCACACUAUAAUGUUUCGACGAGGCACGGAGAAAUAGGGGUUAUGAUGGAAGACGGCGAGGAAGAAGAGUAUGAUGAAAACUAUCUGCCCCCUGAAUACGAUGAUGCUACUGAACAUCAAGAUGCACCAGACGAUGUGCACGAUGGUGCUGCAACGGGCGAAGCUGCUGAAGAUCAAGAGGAACCAGACGAUGUGCCCGAUGAUGAUGAUCUCCGCCGGGUCAUUGUCGAUGCAAGGACGCAAUGCGAAAGUUAAAAGGAGAAGCUGAAGUUCGAUCGCAUGUUAGAGGAUCACAAAAAAGGGUUGUACCCCAAUUGCGAAGAUGGCAACACAAAGCUCGGUACCGUACUCGAAUUGCUGCAGUGGAAGGCAGAGAAUGCUAUGCCUGAUAAAGGAUUUGAGAAGCUACUGAAAAUAAUGAAGAAGAAGCUUCCAAAGGAUAACGAAUUGCCCGACAGUACAUACGCAGCAAAGAAGGUCGUAUGCCCUCUAGGAUUGGAGGUGGAGAAGAUACAUGCAUGCCCUAAUGACUGCAUCCUCUACCGCGGUGCCUACAAGGAUCUGAACGCAUGCCCGGUAUGCGGUGCAUUGCGGUAUAAGAUCAGACGAGAUGACCCUGGUGAUGUUAACGACGAGCCUCCCAGGAAGAGGGUUCCUGCGAAGGUGAUGUGAUAUGCUCCUAUAAUACCACGGUUGAAACGUCUGUUCAGAAACGGAGAACAUGCCAAGUUGAUGCGAUGGCACAGUGAGGACCAUAAGAAAGACGGGAAGUUGAGAGCACCCGCUGACGGAUCGCAGUGGAGAAAAAUCGAGAGAAAGUACUGGGAUGAGUUUGCAAAGGACCCAAGGAACGUAUGGUUUGCUUUAAGCGCGGAUGGCAUUAAUCCUUUCGGGGAGCAGAGCAGCAAUCACAGCACCUUGCCCGUGACUCUAUGUAUGUAUAACCUUCCUCCUUGGACGAUGUGCAUGAAGCGGAAGUUCAUUAUGAUGCCAGUUCUCAUUCAAGGCCCUAAGCAACCCGGCAACGACAUUGAUGUGUAUCUAAGGCCAUUAGUUGAAGAACUUUUACAGCUGUGGAAUGAAAACGGUGUACGUACGUGGGAUGAGCACAAAAAAGAGGAAUUUGACCUAAAGGCAUUGCUGUUCGUGACCAUCAACGAUUGGCCCGCUCUCAGUAACCUUUCAGGACAUCCAAACAAGGGAUACCACGCAUGCACGCAUUGUUUACUUGACACCGAUAGUAUAUAUCUGGGAAGCUGCAGGAAGAAUGUGUACCUGGGAAGCUGCAGGAAGAAUGUGUACCUGGGAAGCUGCAGGGGGGCAUUAUUUCCGGUUUGUGCCAUGAACCGGGACCAAAGGCUUUUCUAUAUAAGCAAACACUUAGCGUUUUUUCAGAUUUCAUCGCCAGUUGCAGCCCGACGAUGCCGACCUCCUCGACGCCGCCAGGCUGCCCCGUCGCCGUCGCCGUCGCCCGUGCCCCCUGAGCCCACGCCGACGCCGUCCGCCGCCCUUGAGCCCACACCGUCGCCGGCCGCGCCCCUGCGCCACGCCCCGACGCCGUCGCCCGUGCCCGUCGCCGUCGUCGUNNNNNNNNNNNNNNNNNNNNNNNNNNNNNNNNNNNNNNNNNNNNNNNNNNNNNNNNNNNNNNNNNNNNNNNNNNNNNNNNNNNNNNNNNNNNNNNNNNNNNNNNNNNNNNNNNNNNNNNNNNNNNNNNNNNNNNNNNNNNNNNNNNNNNNNNNNNNNNNNNNNNNNNNNNNNNNNNNNNNNNNNNNNNNNNNNNNNNNNNNNNNNNNNNNNNNNNNNNNNNNNNNNNNNNNNNNNNNNNNNNNNNNNNNNNNNNNNNNNNNNNNNNNNNNNNNNNNNNNNNNNNNNNNNNNNNNNNNNNNNNNNNNNNNNNNNNNNNNNNNNNNNNNNNNNNNNNNNNNNNNNNNNNNNNNNNNNNNNNNNNNNNNNNNNNNNNNNNNNNNNNNNNNNNNNNNNNNNNNNNNNNNNNNNNNNNNNNNNNNNNNNNNNNNNNNNNNNNNNNNNNNNNNNNNNNNNNNNNNNNNNNNNNNNNNNNNNNNNNNNNNNNNNNNNNNNNNNNNNNNNNNNNNNNNNNNNNNNNNNNNNNNNNNNNNNNNNNNNNNNNNNNNNNNNNNNNNNNNNNNNNNNNNNNNNNNNNNNNNNNNNNNNNNNNNNNNNNNNNNNNNNNNNNNNNNNNNNNNNNNNNNNNNNNNNNNNNNNNNNNNNNNNNNNNNNNNNNNNNNNNNNNNNNNNNNNNNNNNNNNNNNNNNNNNNNNNNNNNNNNNNNNNNNNNNNNNNNNNNNNNNNNNNNNNNNNNNNNNNNNNNNNNNNNNNNNNNNNNNNNNNNNNNNNNNNNNNNNNNNNNNNNNNNNNNNNNNNNNNNNNNNNNNNNNNNNNNNNNNNNNNNNNNNNNNNNNNNNNNNNNNNNNNNNNNNNNNNNNNNNNNNNNNNNNNNNNNNNNNNNNNNNNNNNNNNNNNGCUAUUCCUUUCUUCUUCUCCUCUUUUUUUUCUUCUUCUUCUUCUUCUUCUUAAUUUUUAUCGGGAACGAGGGUGUCGAGGAUCGCCGAGGGGUCGAGGGUCGGGAACUAGGGUAGAGGGUCGAGGGUCGUUAAGGGGUCAAGGGUCGAGGGUUUCAGGGUCGAGGGUUCGAGGGUUCUAUAGGGUCGAGGGAUCGAGGGUCGUCUAGGGGUCGAGGGUUCCAGGGUCGUCGAGGGUUCGAGGGGUCGAGAGAGGUUUCCUAGUGUCAAUGUAUUGAAGAAAUCCAUGGCUUCAUCAUUAGCCGGAAGUAACCAGGGCAUGAUGGUACGAAGUCCUCCAAAGUUAUUCUGGAAUGGAGUCCCGGAUAGGAUAAUUUGCCUUUUUGUACGAAUUUCAGCAAAGGCCUUCCAAAUAAAGAUAUUUGGAAGGUUCUUGCUGAACUUUGUACCAAAAAGCAAAUUAUCCUAUCUGGGACUCCGUUCCAAAAAUAACUUUGGAGAGCUUCGUACUAUCAUGCACCUGUUACUUUCGCCUAAUGAUGAAGACAUGGUUUUGUUGAAUCCUUUGACACUAGGCAACCUCCCGACCCCUCGGCGAUCCUCGACCCCUUGACCCUUGACCGCUUGGCGAUCCUCGACCCCUUACCCUCGACCCCUCGGCGAUCCUCGACCCCUUGAUAGAAAAAAGAAGAGGAAGAAGAAAAAAAAAGAGGAGAAGAAAGAAUAGAGGAGAUAUCUUCUCCUCUAUUCUUUCUUCUACUCUUUUUUUUCUUCUUCUUCCUCUUUUUUUAUCGGGAACGAGGGUCGUCGAGGGUCGCCGAGCGGUAGAGGAAACCCUAAUAUCGUUGGUGUGAGAUACAUGUGGCCGUCGGUGUCGGACACUACAUCCACGUCCCACAAGUGACGCGGGCGUCGAUGCCCACGUCACUUGUGGGACAUAGAUGCAGUGUCGUCAUUGUUGUUGUCGAUAUACCCCCUCCCGAUAGCUUCAACACGUGGGGGGGGGGUCGAUAUUACCCCCUCCUUGAAGCGUUCUCGAGGCCACCCCUAACCCUUGAAGCGUUGUCGAGGCCACCCGAAACCCUAGAGAAGCAGCGUCGAGGCCACUAAUUAAUAUGAUUCCUUAUUGUGAUUAGCUAGCUAGUUCUACGUUUGCCACUAAUAUAUCCAUAUCUGUCAUGUUUGAAUAAUAAUUGCCAUGUUGUAAAUAUUUGUAGAAACUAUGGACACCCCGCCCCGAGACGAAGCACAAGAAGCGUUGUUGAGGGACAUAAUCGCAGAAGGAAGUGAUGCCGUCUGCUCGUUGAUGUUUCUCAACGACAACGAUGGUCUGGAAUGAGAGGGUGAAGAAGCAGCUGGCUAUGAUUUACAUGGCUCCAGGGACCCAAUGCCGAUGCAAGAAGGAGAUCGAGGGUGAAGAAGUAGACCGUGAGGACGGCUCCGGUGAUCACCGAACCGAGUCCGUCCAGGUAUAUAUAUUAGUUAAGCCUGUGCUGACUAGGGUUUUGAUGCAUUCAUUGUUUUGGUAUGUACACAUAUUAAUUAACUCUCAUCUUUGUUCUUUUUUCUAGCCCUCCGGAUCGAGCACAACUUCGGUAAAGAGACGAGGCCCGAAGAAAAAGUUGAGCUCGGAUGAAAAGUUUGAGAUCAUAGAAAUCGCGCGCGACGGCCAACCGAUUGAACCCUACCGGACAAAGAAGGCAUUUUUUGCUCAGUGCGGGGUUCUGGUUAGGGACAAGAUCCCGAUCAGCAUCCACCAAUGGUAUAAGCCUAAGAACGAAGACCCUGAGGUGUCUUAUAUCAAUGAUAUGCAGAAAAAUGAUCUUUGGACUGAGCUGAAGUCAAAUUUCACCCUACCACCAGAGGAUGAUCUGGAGAAGCCAGUUAUAAAGCCAUUAAUCAAGUAUUUUGCUCUUAAGAAGAUGACAGACCUAUUCAGGAAUUGGAAGAAAGACCUGAAUAGGUAUGUCGAUAAAAAUGAGACACCAGAAUUCAAGGGCAAAUAUGAGAAGAUCAGAGAUGACUGGCCCGCAUUUGUGGCCCACAAGACAUUGGAAAAGAGUAAAAAGAUGUCGACGACAAACAAGCUAAAUGCUGCGAAGAAGAAGCUUCACCAUCGCACGGGGUCAGGUGGCUACCUCGUAGCCCGGCCUAAGUGGGCCAAGGCUAAGAAUGAUCUGCUUGAUAAAGGGAUCAAACCAGAGACAAUGAACUGGCCAGACCGUUGCCGUACUUGGUUCUUCGGGGCUGGCGGAACCUUGGACCCUGUAUCAGGGAAGUGCAUCUGGACGGACGAGCAAUUGGAAAUACCAGUCAAGAAGCUUCGGCACUAUAUCGAUGUAGCGCAGCAAGGGACGUUCAUUCCAGAUAGGGAGAAGGACGAGCUCACAAUGGCCCUCGGGAAUCCUGAGCACCCUGGACGGACACGACGCACGCCAGGCUCCGUUUCGUGGAAGGCUGGAUUUUCGGACGCAGGGGGUUACAAAACCCAGGAGAGGAGGAAGAAACUGGAGCAGAGCCAACUGCAGGCGCUGCACGAAAGGGUAAUGGGGCUAGAGGAACAAGAAGCAGAUCACAGCAAACGACCUGCCGAAGCUUCCCCCGAAGCUACCCCACCAUCUCAGCGGAGAAGCAGUGUGGCUUCCACCGAGCUGCUUCAGCGGAGCAUGCCUUGACGGCUCCUGCCAGCUAUCCCGUGAAUGCUAUCACGGAGGCUGAAAAUUGCCACCUUAUGGCGGAAUGGAGCAAUUUGAAGGUCAAGGCGGCUGUUGGCUCUGUUUAUCCUACUGAACCCGACUCAACUUUUCACUCCCGGCCGAUUCCAGAAGGAUAUGCUAAGGUGAUGGUGGAUGAAAUAACGGAGGGAUUUGAGGACCUCCGGCUUGACCACCCUACCGGUGAAGGGGAGUAUCGGCUGGGUUUUGCUCUGAAGACUCCAUGCCUAUGGCGGAAGGAUCUCAUCAACCUUCCGAACUGGACGCCUCCGCCACCUCCUCCUCCUCCGGCGAGUCAGGGCACUCCGCCUCCUCCACCCCCUCCUCCACCGCCUCCUUCUCGGCGAGUGACGAUCAGGGCACUCGGCCGGCUCCUUCUCCGGCGCGUGGCGGCACUCCGCCUCCUUCUCCGCCUGCACCGGCGCGCCCGAGCAGCCAGCCUCCUCCUUCUCCGCCUCGUCAGAAAGGGCGGAAGAGACCCGCCGCCGCUCCGGCUGCUCCGGCGCGUCGUAGUCCUUAUCCUCCGCCUCGUAAGCAAGGAAAGAAGACAUCCGCUCCGUCUGCUCUGCUGGCGUCUAGCAGUACAGCCAAAGGCGGGAGGAGAUACAGAUUCCGUCCUUCUCUGAAGACUCCAGAGAAGUUACCGUACGAGAGGUCCGAGGAGGAAAACGCGAAGAUCGCGCAGACCGAAGUGGAUGACUGGUUUCAAGGGUUGAAAGCAAAGAGACAUCCACCUCCGGAGGAGAAGGUAGAUCCGGUGAAAGUGAAGCGCACUCUGGCUGCCCUGACAAAACCACCCAAGUCUCCACCGAAAGGCAACUAUGAGCGCAUUAUUGGAAAGGCAUUUGCCGAAGCGGAGAGGUCGGGAAGUACUAAAAGUGAUCAAAGGAUGAAAGAACGACGAGCUGGGAAACAAAUUGCCCAGCUCGGCGAACAAGCGAAGCAAUCGUGCCCCCCGCUCAAGGUGCCUGCUAGGGACAUCAUCGAUCCGAGGAUGGUGCCCGGUUAUGGCAAUCCUGCAGAUUACCUGCCCGACGAUGUACAUUAUGAUUUCUUGGAGGUGCAGAUACAAAGAUAUGAGUACGGGAAGCCUCUCGUCAAAGAUGAAAGUUCUCUAUCAACGAUGAUGCGAAGAUUGCAUGAUUGGUACAUGAAAACCUGCAGAGAGUCUGAGGGGAGGAGUACUUUGUAUGUGAGAGUUAAAAAGGAGCAUGACCUCCUUGGAAUUGAACUAAUGCCUAUUCCAUUUGUGGAGUUCUAUCAGUUUUUCAAUCAAUUGGCCCUCGAUAAAGCAACGGUCACCUGCUACUUUCUGUAAGUAGUACUACUUCUGUCAUUAAGUCUCUCUAUAUAACUCAGCUCUUUCAUUGCAUGUAUUUAUAAUUAUCCUCACUAUAUUAUGCAGAUUGAAGAUCGCCGAAUUGAAGAAAAGACAAGAGGGUGAUAUUGGGUUCAUUAACACAUAUCUCAUAGAUAAAACUGAGGUUAAAUUUCAUGCCGAAAAUACCGAGGCCAACUUGCUACAAUCGUUGGUAAUAAAUGAACACAAAGAUAUAAUACUCUUUCUUUACAACUUCAAGUGAGUAUUACUGUCUUGUGGCAUAUUCGGUUUCCCUUAUUAGUCCAGGUUAUAGUAAUGUAAUAUUGAUGAGUUAUGCAUGUGUGCGCAGCUACCACUAUAUUCUACUAGAGAUUAAGCUUGAGAAGGGAGUAGUAACUGUCUUAGACUCCAAACGAAAAGAUCCCAAGGAGUAUGCGGACAUGAUUGAAAUGCUCGAGAAGUAAGUUAAAUCGAUCAUUAUCCACCAUAUCAGCAACUUUGUUCAUUUCUGAUAUCAAGUAAUUAUUUUCUUUGUAUGGCAGGGCUUGGAGAAAAUUCACCAAAAAAGCUCCGGGACUGCCGAAGAAGCUGCAAUUUAGACACCCGAAAGUAAGUACUAUAGUAGCAUAUUCCACGCAUCCACUAGUGAUUCAAGCGCUAGUUUCAUCAAUACCAUUUAGCAUGCUUGCUAAUUAUCAGUUUGAUUGACCUCUAUUUCUUGUAAAGUGGUUGUGGCAGGAACAAGGGAAUGAUUACUGUGGAUACUACAUUUGCGAGUCCAUCCGCCACACGACCUGUGAGCGGGGCUACUCUGACAAACAAUAUGAAGUGCGUAAAUAACAAUAUUCACAAUUUUAUAUUAUUACCAUCAUUUGUGUUGAGUUUCAUUCAUUCAUAUAUAUAUGUAUUGACCCCCUUCUUAAAAUUAGAUGUUUCGGAUGCGGGAUGAACUCCUAGCACCAGAUCGCCUGCGAGCAAUUCAAGAGGAAUUGGCGGCAUUCUUUCUUGACCACGUGAUCACUGAAGACGGAGAAUACUAUGUGGACCACGCGUCCGUAUGUUAGGAGAUUAUAUUUGUAAAAGAUAAUUAUUGUAUAUAUGUAGCCGGUAGUGUCGGAUAGAUAUACGAGAACUUGUUUUUCGACCAAUCUCUCGGAGAAGGAGAGGUGGUCGAUAUCACUUCUCUCUGUAUGCAUAUAUGUUCAUGACGAUCUUCUGUUUCCUUCGUUCGCUUACUAGCUAGCUAGCCUGUCUAGCUAGUCCUCUUUAUACGUAUGUAUAGUACGUAGCGUCGACUAAGCACGGACAAAAGAGAGGACACUUCUUUCUAUUAAUUAGCUAACUAACACAAUGUAUGAAACACCUAAAUUAACCCCCCAAAACCCCCAAACCACCCCCCCCCCUUUCAAAAAAAAAUCAAAACCCCCAGCCACAAAAAUGCUGACGCGUGGAUGCCUAUUGGACCCGGUUGGUGCCACCAACCGGGACCAAAGGCCCUCCUGCCUGGGCUGAGCGGAAAGGCCACGUGGAGGCCCAUCUGUCCCGGUUCUGGAUUGAACCGGGACUAAAGGGUCAGGGCAUUAGUACCGACCCUUUAGUCCCGGUUCAUGAACCGGAACUAAAGGCCCUCACCAACCGGGACUAUAGGCCCUUUUUCUACUAGUGUGGAAGUACUUGGUAUCCCCAUCUACUUCUAAUAAAUCAUUAUCAUUUGUCCCUUGAAAAAAAAUCAUUAUCAACUGUUCCCUGUUUCCAUUUCAAUUCUUCACUUCUAAGAAGCUUCUUUGGAUUAGUAGCUCUUGUUUCAUUUUUCAUAUCCAAAUCAUCAAAUUUUCUCAAUUUCUUUUUUUUAGAUAUCUACACAUCCGUUCAAUAUUGAUAUGCAACCCUUUCAAAUGUUUCCUCAAUAUCCUAGUUUUCUCGUACGGUUUAUCUUAUCAUGCAUACUUACAUAAGUAGAAGUAUUCAACCUUUUUUGUGCAACCUACUUAAAACCACCUCUCUCCAGCCAACAUGUCUCGAAUCUCAAUAUAUCACUAAGACGGGAGAUAUCGCAGUGCUAAGGUGUAGCUUCACAUGAUCUCACGGGCCCAAAUAACGUGGCCCAAAGCUACCCUGUCCAAACGACCAGUCACUCCCAUUUUCUUAUUCUCUUUUCAUAGAAAUUUACCUAUUCCCUCACGUUGGAUACAUAUAUAUUAAGAAUCGAUGCAUCAGAGACGUGUUUGGUUGCUUGCAUGGAGCCCAAGCAGCUUCGUAUGUAAAGAAAUUGGUCUAUUUGAUUGUCCACAUUCACUAUUUGCCUGCAUAACACGGAAUUUAAAAAGCACUUUUGGGCCUACAUCCUUGGGAACCCUUGAUUCGACCGGUUUCGGGAGCUAGGCCCGAGCGAUGCAAUCAAGCUCACGUGGAUGGCCCUCGUGGUGCAGUUACGUGUGAGCUUGCACGUGUUCUAGUAUAAGCUUCCUUUAAUCUAUUUGACUUUUUAAUCAACACAACGGUACUCUGCUUUAAGAUAAGGUCUACAGAAAAAAGAUACACAUCGAUGUUGCGAUUCCAUUCAGAAAAUUGGUUCGUAGUUUUUUCGACUAUAUAUGUUCAAUUUCGUGUUCAUAUUUGGAGCUAUUUUGCAUGAAUUUUGUCAAAAUUCAUCGUGCAGGGUUGACCGCUUGAAAUUUUGUUUGACCAGUGGCUUCAUCUCACAAUUUCACACGACUUUCGGCGUGCACGUUAUGUGUUUCGACAAUUGUAAAUGAGUAGAUCUACAUCUUCCUCAUGAGUGUAAAUAUGUGUAUGAUUGUGUUGCUUAAUUGACAGUUCUUAAUGUCCCUUGUAGUCCCUUUUAACCGUUCUUCUCGGGCUCCUCUUGCUCGUCCUGCUGCAAAGGCGGCAGCAUCGCCGUCGUUCAUCUUGGCCUCCUCUCCCGCGUCUCACUGCACUGGUGCGACCAUCAAUGUCGUUCCUUUCAGCCUUCUCUCCCACGUCUUGCUACAGUGACGCCAUCGUCCGCGCCGUUCCUCUCGGCCUCCUUGCAUCCGUCCUACUAUGCUGUUGUUAGCGUGCUUCCUCUCACUCUCCUCGCUUAUGUUCUACUACAUUGUCGCCGGCAUCGUUCUUUUCGGCCUCCUCCCCUGCACCUACUACACUGACACGACCAUGGUGCGCACAUUGCAUUUGUGCCCCUCUGAUCUCCGCCUCGGUGCUUCUUCGCACAAACAUUCUCUGCAGCGACGAUAAUAUCAACUAGUUCGCUGCCGCACCAGCAGGCCCGCCCGCGACUGCAUGCUUGUCGUGUCGGACGUGGCGCCGAGGUCACCGUCCACCGCAGUCACAAGGCACACUAGAGCCUGUUUGGUAGGUCGCAUAGAGGCCAACCAAGCCCUCGCGGGAAAGAAAAUGGGCUAUUUGGUUCCCUGUAUUCACUGUUGGGCCUGCGUUGCGCAGAGCUUAAAGCAGCUCCCAGCCAGGCCCGCUAGAAACUACUGAAUCGGCAGUUUCAAGCCAGUCAGGCUGAGUUGAGCCACAUCGAGGGCACAUUGUGUGCCCCCUUGCACAAGAGUAUGCCAGUGUGAUGUGAGGCCCGUACGUGCUAUCAGCUCCUACCUCAGAGUGAGUUCGUCUCUAAUCUCCUUUCUUCCUCGCUCCUUUCAAUCUACCCAACGGUGCUUCCAUUCGAGAUAAGGCCUACACGAAAAAGAUGCACACCAAUGUUAUGGUUUCAUUCAGACGAUCGGUUCGAAGUUUCGUCGACCGUAGAUGCUUAAUUUUGUGUUCAUGUUUGGAGUUAUUUUGUAUGAAUUUUACCAAAUUUGUCGCGCAUGGUUGACCCUUUGAAAUUUCUUUUGACCAGUAGCUUUGUCUUGUAGUUUCACACGAUUUUCGUAUUGCACAUUUUUUUUUGUUUGGACGAUCGUAGACGAGUAGAUCUAAUUUCUUCCUCAUUGGAAUGUAUGCAUGCAUAUGUGUGGUGUGUGUUAAUGACACUCCUUAAUCUCAGUCUCAAGUCCUAUGUCGUGCUACACUGGCACAAACGUCGGCGUCGUUCUUCUCGGCCUUCUCUCCCGCGUACUGUUGCACUAGCGCCACCACCGCGUCGUUCCUCUCAACCUCCUCUCCCGUGUCAUUCUACACUCGGGCGAUCAUCGUUCCUCUCUGUUUUCUCUCCCAUGUCCUGCUACACUGAAGCCACCGCGACGUUGUUCAUCUCGACUUCCUCGCUUGCGUCCUACUACACUAACGCCAUCGUCAAUGUUGUUGUCUUAGGCCUUCUCUCUGCACCCUCUUGCACCAACACUACCAUGGCAUGCAAACUGCAUUUCUCCUUCAUAUUUUUCUUCCUCAGCGCCAUGACGUCGACAUUGCUAUGUGUAGCUGCGAACCUUGUCGGAUGGGCGCCAUAUUGUGCCAGGUGCUGCCGCCGGCGUCGUUACUCUCGGCCUAUUUUCCGCCGGCUUACACUGACGCCCAAUUUCGAGCACACUUCAAAGAAACCCUAUUGUAACUCUGUGCUGUCAUGUGUAGGUGUUAACUCUUAAUCGUAUCCCGUGUAUACAACUAAACAUCGUGUAGUUGCGUGAGUGGAGACAACGCAACACACCAAACAACGUGCCAAUCUGAUGCCCUAAUGCAGAAAGUCUAGAUGUGGGCUACCAAACGAUAUACAGAUGUUGGUUUUUUUUCUGUUUUCCCUCAGCCAGGCCCAACUGACACAUAUAUGCAAUGCAGGCAAAUUGGCAGAUGACAACCAAACACGCCCCUAGUGUAACUCUGUGUAUUAAGUGCAAGCGCUAACUCUUAAUUAUAUACCGUGUAUACAACCAAACACCGUGUAGUUGCAUGAGUCGAGCCAAUGCAUACCAGUAAAUGUGAUACCAAAAACGAUCCUCUAAUGUAGACAACCUUGAUGCGAACAAAUAAACGAUGUGUAGAUGUUGAUAUUUUUCAUAUUUUUUCUCAACCAGGCCCAAGUGAGCCACACAUACAAUGCAUGCAAAUUCCCAAAUAGCAACCAAACACGCCGCGGACUGCUUCCAAACCCAGCCUCUACGUGCGUGUUUGAUGCCAGCGAAAAGCAUCGAUGGGCCGAGCCAGCCUGUACACACGCGAGAUCGCCGGAAAAUAGUAACCGGCGGCCGGUCCCGGCCAGCUCCAACAGCAGACAGGCACACGCGCGAUGCGAUCGAGUACAGCUAGACGUUGUGCAUGUAUGCAUGCAUAGCACAGCACCUAUGUCGAAUGACUCGGUGCACUCGUCGUAGCGGUCAAAAUAAUCGUCCCUAAGGCCGGCUGUUUCAGCCUUCAGCGCACGAUAACUCGGGAACUGGAUCCUCUAACAUUGAAAAGGAAAAUUAGAGAAGCUAUAAUAUAGUAUAUUCUAACUUUCUUUCUUUCAAUCCAUAUAAGUAAGUCUAAACUAAUUUAAUUAAUUUGCGUAUUACAGAUUUAAUGUGUACAUUUAUAAUCAUUAUAUUCAAACAAAAUGUUGGUUAAACCAAAUUAAUUAUUGAUUAUUUAUAUCUAUAGUAAAUAUCGAUAGUAAAUAAUUUGCUAAACGUCUCUAACAUUUUUUCUUCAUUUUACACUAGGAUUAUAUUUUUUUUUUUAGAACCAAUGAGUGAAACUACUCAUGGUUGGGAUUACAUUCACGCAGCCAUAGCCGCUCAAGAGGAUCAGGAACCUUCCCUAUCAUCAGGAUAUCUCCUGAAAUCUUUGCCAUACCUGCAAGACCAUGCGCUAGAGAAUUACACUCUCUUUUCACAAUGCUGAACUGAUGAUAUGGGAAUAGUUGCAGGCAGCUCUUGAUUUCCGUUAUCAAGGAGAAGCAAGCAGAGCAACUCUUUACCUAGCACAGCACAGUCUAUCUCCACCACCAGCGGCCCCUUAUAAAUCCGAAGCAGCUCCUGAAGCCCAGUCAGGACAGCGCUAGCUUCGGCCUCUUCGACGGAUGCACGGACUCCCACAUUUUUGCAAAAGGAUAUAAGGACCCUCCCCUGGUUGCUGCAACCCGUCGGCUAGCCUGCGGCACCACACCAUCGGCACCGCCACGCUUCACUGCAGCUCCGGCAACCCCCGCGCUGCUUCAUCACAACACCGGCGAGCCCCCUCUACUUCAUCUGCUGCACACAGCUCCCGCCGGCCAUGGCAUCAUCUUCACCCUAGCCUAGCGGCCUAGCCUACAGCAGCGCGAGGUAAGCGGAGACAGCCAUAUGCAGCAGCGGUGCAACAGCACUAGGUGACGACGUAAGGUGAUUGCGGUGCCGGUCUACAGCGACGGCGAUGGCGCUGGUAUGUGCUGUUGUGUGCUGGAGGAAGAAGAAAAGGGAAGAAAAGAAUGAAUGGCUCAACGCAACUGAGGAAGAGAUAAGGGGAAAAGAAAGGAUAAAGCAGGGAGAGAGAUAAGCGGCGCGUGGGACUCAUCGGACGAGUGGCGCAUGUUGGAGACGGCUUACGCAGGGACAAAAUCAUCUGAUUUAUUUAGAACGUUUUCCUUGUUUGUUUUUGUCUUCAAAAUAGUCGAUCACAACUUCCCAGGUCACCUUUUGGAGUGCUCUGAAUAAACUUUAUGGACUAAAAGAGAUCCCUUGCUGCUGCUGCUGCGAUUUAUAGGCUUGUAGCUAUAAAACCAGCUGAGCUGCUGUGCACAAUAAACAUCCUCAUUCAGUAAACUGAACAAGUAAUUAGCUAGCGCCGCUGAGAUGGUUCAUCCGUUGCAUGGCAUCCAUGAGCUGCUGCUGCAAGGGAGGUCUCCACAUGCAGACCUAGGACUGGUCUUUCUCCUGCUCGUCUGCCCUCUUCUUCUCCUCCUGGUCGUGCGCAGCCUCGCGACGCCGUCGACGGCCGUGGCCACCGCGAGAGCCAGAGAAGAGCUGCUGAGCAGGCUGCCUUCCCCCAGCAGCAGGCUCCCCGUCGUCGGCCACCUGCACCUCGUCGGCCCGCUCCCGCACGUCUCGCUCCGCGACCUGGCCGCCAAGCACGGCCGCGAUGGACUAAUGCUCCUCCGCCUCGGAGCCGUCCCGACGCUCAUCGUAACCUCGCCGAGCGCCGCGCAGGCCGUGCUGCGCACCCACGACCACGUCUUCGCGUCCCGGGCAUACUCCCCCGUCACCGACAUCCUCUUCUACGGCUCCACGGACGUCGCCUUCUGCCCCUACGGCGAGCACUGGCGGCAGGUCAAGAAGAUCGCCACCACGCACCUCCUCACCAACAAGAAGGUCCGCUCCUACCGCCAUGCGCGCGAGAACGAG